UGGGGAAUUUUGGACAAUGGGCGAAAGCCUGAUCCAGCAAUGCCGCGUGUGUGAAGAAGGCCUUCGGGUUGUAAAGCACUUUUGUCCGGAAAGAAAUCCUUGGCUCUAAUACAGUCGGGGGAUGACGGUACCGGAAGAAUAAGCACCGGCUAACUACGUGCCAGCAGCCGCGGUAAUACGUAGGGUGCAAGCGUUAAUCGGAAUUACUGGGCGUAAAGCGUGCGCAGGCGGUUUGCUAAGACCGAUGUGAAAUCCCCGGGCUCAACCUGGGAACUGCAUUGGUGACUGGCAGGCUAGAGUAUGGCAGAGGGGGGUAGAAUUCCACGUGUAGCAGUGAAAUGCGUAGAGAUGUGGAGGAAUACCGAUGGCGAAGGCAGCCCCCUGGGCCAAUACUGGCGCUCAUGCACGAAAGCGUGGGGAGCAAACAGGAUUAGAUACCCUGGUAGUCCACGCCCUAAAACGAUGUCAACUAGUUGUUGGGGAUUCAUUUCCUUAGUAACGUAGCUAACGCGUGAAGUUGACCGCCUGGGGAGUACGGUCGCAAGAUUAAAACUCAAAUGAAUUGACGGGGUCAUAGCUGUUUCCU
RNAcentral lists this ribosomal RNA (586 nucleotides) under uncultured bacterium. RNAcentral's name for it is "partial 16S ribosomal RNA". It matches the Rfam family "Bacterial small subunit ribosomal RNA", at positions 355 to 1375 of the family's 1533-position model. The record is from RNAcentral.